GACGAACCGUGCGAACGUUGUUCGGAUUCACUGGGCUUAAAGGGCGCGUAGGCGGGCUGGCAAGUCAGGGGUGAAAUCCUCCGGCUCAACCGGAGAACAGCCUUUGAUACUGCUAGUCUAGAGGAAGGUAGGGGCAUGUGGAACUUCCGGUGGAGCGGUGAAAUGCGUAGAUAUCGGAAGGAACGCCGGUGGCGAAAGCGACGUGCUGGACCUUUACUGACGCUGAGGCGCGAAAGCCAGGGGAGCAAACGGG
RNAcentral lists this ribosomal RNA (253 nucleotides) under uncultured prokaryote. RNAcentral's name for it is "partial 16S ribosomal RNA". It matches the Rfam family "Bacterial small subunit ribosomal RNA", at positions 524 to 776 of the family's 1533-position model. The record is from RNAcentral.